GCCAGACUCCUACGGGAGGCAGCAGUGGGGAAUAUUGCACAAUGGGGGGAACCCUGAUGCAGCGACGCCGCGUGGGUGAAGGAGCACCUCGGUGCGUAAAGCCCUAUCGGCAGGGAAGAAACAGACGGUACCUGACUAAGAAGCCCCGGCUAACUACGUGCCAGCAGCCGCGGUAAUACGUAGGUGGCAAGCGUUAUCCGGAUUUAUUGGGUGUAAAGGGCGUGUAGGCGGGAAUGCAAGUCAGAUGUGAAAACUAUGGGCUCAACCCAUAGCCUGCAUUUGAAACUGUACUUCUUGAGUGCUGGAGAGGCAAUCGGAAUUCCGUGUGUAGCGGUGAAAUGCGUAGAUAUCAGGAGGAACACCGGUGGCGAAGGCGGCCUGCUGGACUGCAACUGACGUUGAGGCCCGAAAGCGUGGGGAGCAAACAGGAUUAGAUACCCGCGUA
Molecule: ribosomal RNA, 445 nt
Filed under: uncultured bacterium
Lineage: Bacteria
Description: partial 16S ribosomal RNA
Rfam family: Bacterial small subunit ribosomal RNA
Source: RNAcentral